CCCCUUCCGAUCGAUGUCAAUCUUCACAAUCACAAAAACGACGUCCACGAUGACGAUACCUACGGUGCAUCCGGCCUCAAUCCCCCUGCUCCCUCUUAUCAAAACCUACCAAAUUCUGUCCAGAAUUCAUUUCCCGCUGAAAAUAAUUCAGCUGCUGGACCUAGGAUUUUGGGCGCCAAAUUACCUAAUAAUGCUUCAGAUAUUACUGAUUCUACAUCCGAUAAGCAGGAUAAAGACGUUACUUUUGAUAUCGAGGAGGGCAAUACUGGAAUUCCUGCAGAUUCUGGUCCAAUGAUCCCGGGACUCGCCGUUGAUGUAGAGGAUUCCAAGAGGAUUGAAGCUGAUGUUGGUGGCGGCCGCGAGGGAGAUGAAGAUUGGGAGGAAGACAGUGAUAGUGAAGAUGACUUGCAAAUAGUGUUGAAUGAUACUAAUCAUGGGCCUAUGGGGAUGGAAAGUGGAAUAAUGGGUGACGGUGGUGAUGACGAUGACGACGAGGAUGGAGAUCCACUCGUAAUUGUAGCUGACGGGGACCCAAAUCAGCCGAUAGAAGAACAAGAGUGGGGCGUGGGAGAGGAUGCGGCCGCAACAUCAGGGGCGGAAGGGGAGAGGAAAGAGGGCGGUGAGGCAGCUGGGAAAGGGAUUGCAGUGGCAGGACCGAAGAUUGGGUAUAGCAACCAUGGGUAUCAUCACUCGUUUCAUUCCCAGUUUAAGGUCAGUGUUGUUGUUGCUAUAAGUUAGAGCUUUAAAUAAAGAAAGAAAUACUGUUGUUCCUGGAGGAGCACCAGGUCAAGUUCGUCCUUCUAUCAACAUGGCUCCUUUAGCUGGUCGU
RNAcentral lists this unclassified non-coding RNA (829 nucleotides) under Hevea brasiliensis (rubber tree). Lineage: Eukaryota; Viridiplantae; Streptophyta; Magnoliopsida; Malpighiales; Euphorbiaceae. The record is from RNAcentral.